CCUACGGGAGGCAGCAGUGAGGAAUAUUGGUCAAUGCACGAGAGUCUGAACCAGCCAAGUAGCGUGAAGGAUGACUGCCCUAUGGGUUGUAAACUUCUUUUAUAUGGGAAUAAAAUGUUCCACGUGUGGGAUUUUGUAUGUACCAUAUGAAUAAGGAUCGGCUAACUCCGUGCCAGCAGCCGCGGUAAUACGGAGGAUCCGAGCGUUAUCCGGAUUUAUUGGGUUUAAAGGGAGCGUAGGUGGAUUGUUAAGUCAGUUGUGAAAGUUUGCGGCUCAACCGUAAAAUUGCAGUUGAAACUGGCAGUCUUGAGUACAGGAGAGGUGGGCGGAAUUCGUGGUGUAGCGGUGAAAUGCUUAGAUAUCACGAAGAACUCCGAGUGCGAAGGCAGUUCACUGGACUGCAACUGACACUGAGGCUCGAAAGUGUGGGUAUCAAACAGGAUUAGAUACCCGUGUAGUC
RNAcentral lists this ribosomal RNA (460 nucleotides) under uncultured bacterium. RNAcentral describes it as "partial 16S ribosomal RNA". It matches the Rfam family "Bacterial small subunit ribosomal RNA", at positions 338 to 795 of the family's 1533-position model. The record is from RNAcentral.